RNAcentral lists this ribosomal RNA (475 nucleotides) under uncultured organism. RNAcentral's name for it is "partial 16S ribosomal RNA". It matches the Rfam family "Bacterial small subunit ribosomal RNA", at positions 335 to 801 of the family's 1533-position model. The record is from RNAcentral.
ACUCCUACGGGAGGCAGCAGUGGGGAAUUUUGGACAAUGGGCGAAAGCCUGAUCCAGCAAUGCCGCGUGAGUGAAGAAGGCCUUCGGGUUGUAAAGCUCUUUUGUCAGGGAAGAAACGGUGAAAGCUAAUAUCUUUUGCUAAUGACGGUACCUGAAGAAUAAGCACCGGCUAACUACGUGCCAGCAGCCGCGGUAAUACGUAGGGUGCAAGCGUUAAUCGGAAUUACUGGGCGUAAAGCGUGCGCAGGCGGUUUUGUAAGUCUGAUGUGAAAUCCCCGGGCUCAACCUGGGAAUUGCAUUGGAGACUGCAAGGCUAGAAUCUGGCAGAGGGGGGUAGAAUUCCACGUGUAGCAGUGAAAUGCGUAGAUAUGUGGAGGAACACCGAUGGCGAAGGCAGCCCCCUGGGUCAAGAUUGACGCUCAUGCACGAAAGCGUGGGGAGCAAACAGGAUUAGAUACCCGAGUAGUCCCAUGAU